AGAGUUUGAUCCUAGCUCAGAUUGAACGCUGGCGGCAGGCCUAACACAUGCAAGUCGAGCGGCAGCGACAACAAAGAUUCUUCGGAUGAUUUGUUGGGCGGCGAGCGGCGGACGGGUGAGUAAUGGCUGGGAACCUGCCCUGACGUGGGGGAUAACAGUUGGAAACGACUGCUAAUACCGCAUGAUGUCUUUGGACCAAAGAGGAGGACCUUCGGGCUUCUCGCGUCGGGAUGGGCCCAGUUGGGAUUAGCUAGUUGGUGAGGUAAUGGCUCACCAAGGCGACGAUCCCUAGCUGGUUUGAGAGGAUGAUCAGCCACACUGGAACUGAGACACGGUCCAGACUCCUACGGGAGGCAGCAGUGGGGAAUAUUGCACAAUGGGCGCAAGCCUGAUGCAGCCAUGCCGCGUGUGUGAAGAAGGCCUUCGGGUUGUAAAGCACUUUCAGCAGUGAGGAAGGGUAAUGAGUUAAUACCUUAUUAUCUUGACGUUAGCUGCAGAAGAAGCACCGGCUAACUUCGUGCCAGCAGCCGCGGUAAUACGGAGGGUGCGAGCGUUAAUCGGAAUUACUGGGCGUAAAGCGCAUGCAGGCGGUUUGUUAAGCAAGAUGUGAAAGCCCCGGGCUCAACCUGGGAACCGCAUUUUGAACUGGCAGGCUAGAGUCCUGUAGAGCUGUAGAGGGGGGUAGAAUUUCA
RNAcentral lists this ribosomal RNA (692 nucleotides) under uncultured Vibrionaceae bacterium. Its description in RNAcentral is "bacterial SSU rRNA". It matches the Rfam family "Bacterial small subunit ribosomal RNA", at positions 8 to 685 of the family's 1533-position model. The record is from RNAcentral. Lineage: Bacteria; Pseudomonadati; Pseudomonadota; Gammaproteobacteria; Vibrionales; Vibrionaceae.